Small nuclear RNA from Mustela putorius furo (domestic ferret), 104 nucleotides. NCBI's taxonomy places the organism in Eukaryota, Metazoa, Chordata, Mammalia, Carnivora, Mustelidae. The record is from Ensembl.
GUGCUCACCUCAGCAGUACAUGUACUAAAAUUAGAACGAUACAGAGAUUAGCAUGGCCCCUGUACAACAAUGAUACACAAAUUUGUGAAGUGUUCCACAGUUUU